RNAcentral lists this unclassified non-coding RNA (188 nucleotides) under rhizosphere metagenome. Its description in RNAcentral is "partial ribosomal RNA internal transcribed spacer region". The record is from RNAcentral.
GUGUUCCCUGCCCUCACGGGUAGAAACGCCCACCCUUGUGUAUUAUAUCUUUGUUGCUUCGGCAGGCCGCCUUCGGGCACCGGCUCCGGCUGGAUCGUGCCUGCCAAAGGAAACCCAAACUCUGAAUGUUAGUGUCGUCUGAGUACUAUCUAAUAGUUAAAACUUUCAACAACGGAUCUCUUGGUUCU